Molecule: ribosomal RNA, 460 nt
Filed under: uncultured bacterium
Lineage: Bacteria
Description: partial 16S ribosomal RNA
Rfam family: Bacterial small subunit ribosomal RNA
Source: RNAcentral
CCUACGGGGGGCAGCAGUGAGGAAUAUUGGUCAAUGGACGAGAGUCUGAACCAGCCAAGUAGCGUGAAGGAUGACUGCCCUAUGGGUUGUAAACUUCUUUUAUAUGGGAAUAAAAUGUUCCACGUGUGGGAUUUUGUAUGUACCAUAUGAAUAAGGAUCGGCUAACUCCGUGCCAGCAGCCGCGGUAAUACGGAGGAUCCGAGCGUUAUCCGGAUUUAUUGGGUUUAAAGGGAGCGUAGGUGGAUUGUUAAGUCAGUUGUGAAAGUUUGCGGCUCAACCGUAAAAUUGCAGUUGAAACUGGCAGUCUUGAGUACAGUAGAGGUAGGCGGAAUUCGUGGUGUAGCGGUGAAAUGCUUAGAUAUCAGGAAGAACUCCGAUUGCGAAGGCAGUUCACUGGACUGCAACUGACACUGAGGCUCGAAAGUGUGGGUAUCAAACAGGAUUAGAUACCCGUGUAGUC